GCAUUUGACCUCAAAUCAGGUAGGAUUACCCCGCU
Molecule: ribosomal RNA, 35 nt
Filed under: Hyphoderma setigerum
Lineage: Eukaryota; Fungi; Basidiomycota; Agaricomycetes; Polyporales; Hyphodermataceae
Description: partial 28S ribosomal RNA
Source: RNAcentral